This 499-nucleotide ribosomal RNA is filed under the name uncultured bacterium. RNAcentral describes it as "bacterial SSU rRNA". It matches the Rfam family "Bacterial small subunit ribosomal RNA", at positions 791 to 1294 of the family's 1533-position model. The record is from RNAcentral.
UAGUCCACGCCGUAAACGAUGGAUGCUAGCCGUUGGUAAGCAUGCUUAUCAGUGGCGCAGCUAACGCAUUAAGCAUCCCGCCUGGGGAGUACGGCCGCAAGGUUGAAACUCAGAGGAAUUGACGGGGGCCCGCACAAGCGGUGGAGCAUGUGGUUUAAUUCGACGCAACGCGCAGAACCUUACCAGGCCUUGACAUCCCGUGCUACGUCCAGAGAUGGACGGUCCCCGCAAGGGGCGCGGUGACAGGUGCUGCAUGGCUGUCGUCAGCUCGUGUCGUGAGAUGUUGGGUUAAGUCCCGCAACGAGCGCAACCCUCGCCUUUAGUUGCCAUCAUUUAGUUGGGCACUCUAAAGGGGACCNCCGGGCGACAAGCCGGAGGAAGGUGGGGAUGACGUCAAGUCCUCAUGGCCCUUACGGCCUGGGCUACACACGUGCUACAAUGGCGUGACAAUGGGCAGCGACCUCGCGAGAGGUAGCGAAUCCCAAAAGCCGUCCAGUUC